CCUCACCUAACAGUUAUUGGUGCCCAACCCCACCUUUACCCUACAACAUCUCAUGUCUAUAGAGAGGUCCAGCCCCCCAAUGCAACUUGCCCACUGUGUCCAGCCGAGACAAAUCAACAUCAGAAAAGCCUUAGUAGCUCUACUACGGUGGAAGACCUAUGGACUUAAUAUCGGUUAAUCAGGUCUUAGUGUUUGCAACUUGAGCUCUUCAUAAAAGGUAAUCGAACAAUUGGCCAGGUAAGCAGGUGGGAGGCUCUCCUUACUCAGAGAGUAAGGUCCUAAUUAAGUAACCACCUUUCAUGCUUUCCUAGACACCAAUUA
This 321-nucleotide long non-coding RNA is filed under the name Phoenix dactylifera (date palm). RNAcentral describes it as "long non-coding RNA (PDAC_LNC022531)". The record is from RNAcentral. Lineage: Eukaryota; Viridiplantae; Streptophyta; Magnoliopsida; Arecales; Arecaceae.